Molecule: non-coding RNA, 181 nt
Organism: Zonotrichia albicollis (white-throated sparrow)
Lineage: Eukaryota; Metazoa; Chordata; Aves; Passeriformes; Passerellidae
Source: RefSeq, a predicted model, not a curated record
UGUUGAAGAGCUGACAGAAUCCCCAAUGGUCUUGAGGCCUUUGUGUAAAGUUUCUCUCAUCUUGCCACAGUCUGUGGAGAAGAUGCUCUGCAAGAUACCUGGAUUUUACGUCAGAGAGUGCUGCUGCCUCUUCAUGGAGAAAGAGGAUGAGUGAAGCAAGGGGCUAGGUCUGUUUGUCUGG